This 21-nucleotide non-coding RNA is filed under the name Drosophila melanogaster (fruit fly). The record is from RNAcentral. Lineage: Eukaryota; Metazoa; Arthropoda; Insecta; Diptera; Drosophilidae.
UAAUUUAGCGUAAAUGGGUUC